UAGCUCUGUCAUUUAGAGCGUGGUGCUGAUAACACCAAGGUCAUGGGUUCGAUCCCCGU
RNAcentral lists this transfer RNA (59 nucleotides) under Apaloderma vittatum (bar-tailed trogon). It matches the Rfam family "tRNA", at positions 8 to 63 of the family's 71-position model. From Rfam's summary of the family: Transfer RNA (tRNA) molecules are approximately 80 nucleotides in length. Their secondary structure includes four short double-helical elements and three loops (D, anti-codon, and T loops). Lineage: Eukaryota; Metazoa; Chordata; Aves; Trogoniformes; Trogonidae. The record is from Rfam by way of RNAcentral.